AGUUAUCUAGUUUAAGUUAAAACACAAGCUUGUCGAGUUUGAGAUAUAUUGAGUAUGAUAACUU
RNAcentral lists this transfer RNA (64 nucleotides) under Pyramidella dolabrata (giant Atlantic pyram). Its description in RNAcentral is "tRNA-Asp". It matches the Rfam family "tRNA". Rfam says of the family: Transfer RNA (tRNA) molecules are approximately 80 nucleotides in length. Lineage: Eukaryota; Metazoa; Mollusca; Gastropoda; Pyramidellidae. The record is from RNAcentral.